RNAcentral lists this ribosomal RNA (634 nucleotides) under uncultured fungus. RNAcentral describes it as "partial 28S rRNA". It matches the Rfam family "Eukaryotic large subunit ribosomal RNA", at positions 91 to 736 of the family's 3401-position model. Lineage: Eukaryota; Fungi. The record is from RNAcentral.
GAGUGAUGCGGCAACAGCUCAGAUUUGAAAUCUGGCCCCCCCCUCGGGGCCCGAGUUGUAAUCUUGAAGAGGAUGCUUCUGGCGCGGCCGCCCCCUAAGUUCCCUGGAACGGGACGCCACAGAGGGUGAGAGCCCCGUAGGGUCGGCAGCUAAGCCUCUGUGAAGCUCCCUCGAAGAGUCGAGUAGUUUGGGAAUGCUGCUCUAAACGGGAGGUAAAUUUCUUCUAAAGCUAAAUACCGGCCCAAGACCGAUAGCGCACAAGUAGAGUGAUCGAAAGAUGAAAAGCACUUUGAAAAGAGAGUUAAAUAGCACGUGAAAUUGCUGAAGGGGAAGCGCUAGUGACCAGACUUGCGCCCUGUGGAUCACCCGGCGUUCUCGCCGGGGCACUCCGCAGGGCGCAGGCCAGCAUCGGCCCCCCGGCCGGGGGGACAAAAGCCCUGGGAAAGUAGCUCUCCAGGGAGUGUUAUAGCCCGAGGCAGAAUAUCCCCGGGGGGGCCGAGGCCCGCGCGCUCCGCAAGGAUGCUGGCGUAAUGGUCAUCAGCGGCCCGUCUUGAAACACGGACCAAGGAGUCAAGCAUUGGGGCGAGUGUGCGGGUGCUAAAAACCCGCGCGCGCAAUGAAAGUGAACGCUGGU